RNAcentral lists this microRNA (22 nucleotides) under Homo sapiens (human). RNAcentral's name for it is "hsa-miR-3183". The record is from miRBase by way of RNAcentral. Lineage: Eukaryota; Metazoa; Chordata; Mammalia; Primates; Hominidae.
GCCUCUCUCGGAGUCGCUCGGA